This is a long non-coding RNA of Lytechinus pictus (painted urchin), 1378 nucleotides long. RefSeq lists it as uncharacterized. The transcript has 2 exons. Lineage: Eukaryota; Metazoa; Echinodermata; Echinoidea; Temnopleuroida; Toxopneustidae. The record is from RefSeq and is a predicted model, not a curated record.
AUUGGUAGAAGGCGGCUCCACUGAGUGCGGACGUGCGUUGAGUUCUGCUGAUCGCGGCGCCACACUUUAGGAGCGAGAUUCAGUCAAUACCAGACGUGGAGGACAGGUGGUGGUGAUGGUGGUGUCGGCUCUACGUAUUAGUGAUGCUAACACGAGAAGAAGACUGCUGAUUCUUUUUCUAUAUCUUCAACUUUUCCCACUGAGAAUACCAGCAUGGCACGCCAGUGAUCUAUCUUCCAUCACUUCAUCAAUUAUUUUCGAAAAUUUGGCAACAGCGAGCUGACUACAGACUAUCACAAUCCUUGAACAGAAGAUUCGUCAGGAACAAGACAACUAUGUUUUUCCUCAAUAAAAAAUGAAUAUAAUUUUAAAAUCAAGUCAAAACAACGUUUGAACGAUUCACACUUUCUUGAUAUCGCUUUAAAAUAUAACUAUAUAACUUAAGUAUCACAUCCGGAAAAAAUCGAUGGAAAUUAUAAAUCGACCUUGCUUUUGAUUCUAUUUACAUCGAUCUGUUUAAAAACGCAAAUUCGAAGCGGAUUUUUUUUUUUAUCAGCAAGUCAGUCAGAAUUUCAAGUUGUUAUGCUUUAGAUACAUAUCUGUUAAAUAAGGGAAAUCAGGAAUUUCAAAUUUUAUAUGCAAACAGAAUUAUAUACGAAUAAACAGAGGAUGACGAUGAGAAAUCAAAUUUGAGCAGACGACAACAUAGAUAUCGAUACUAAUAUCGAUGUUGCGUAUUUCUGUUGGCCACACUCUGAGCGGCAAGAUUCUCCACUUUCUACCCCGUAUUAACAAUGUGGCUGAUGAGGAAUCUUAUGAACCAUCAGCCUCGCUGUCAAUACGAGGUAAGGAGUGACAACCAACCAAUCAGCGUCCAGGACUCAAACUUUCGACCAAUCAGCACGCAGGAUGGUUUCUAGGGUGACAGAGAGUGACGUACCUAUAGAAGUUGACAAUUUCUCGCCACCUUGUGGAAGAUUAUAGUAAGCUAAAUUAUACUACUCAUCUUUUGAAUCAUGUUUUUUUUUCCUAAAUAAUUCGAUACCAAAUUCAGACUUUUAUUCAAUUCAAGUCAGGAUCCACUGGGUCUUUCGGAAGCUUGUGCCUCUCUCCAUCAUUUUUUUUCAAGAGAUUUAACGAACAUAAUGUAGAUGAAACAAAAUACUAGUAGGAAAGAAAUAAAACGAGCAUUGUUGAAAAAUGGGUCUUGGGUAAAAUGACUAAAUUAUUAUCAUUGAGGAAUACCACCUUUAGUGGUCUUGUUCAUCCCCAUCGAAGUAUCAUGAUACAAUUCCUGCUUCCAUAUUGAAAAAAUAUCAAUUUACUUUAAAUUGCUUGAACGUCGAUAUUUUGACAAUAAAAGGGAUUUACAAAAAUA